Molecule: ribosomal RNA, 242 nt
Filed under: uncultured Actinomycetales bacterium
Lineage: Bacteria; Bacillati; Actinomycetota; Actinomycetes; Actinomycetales
Description: partial 16S ribosomal RNA
Rfam family: Bacterial small subunit ribosomal RNA
Source: RNAcentral
ACUCGAGUGGCGAACGGGUGAGUAACACGUGGGUGAUCUGCCCUGCACUUCGGGAUAAGCUUGGGAAACUGGGUCUAAUACCGGAUAGGAGCCAUCUUUAGUGUGGUGGUUGGAAAGUUUUUUCGGUGUAGGAUGAGCUCGCGGCCUAUCAGCUUGUUGGUGGGGUAAUGGCCUACCAAGGCGGCGACGGGUAGCCGGCCUGAGAGGAUGUACGGCCACAUUGGGACUGAGAUACGGCCCAG